AUACGGGGGGUGCGAAUGUUGUUCGGAAUCACUGGGCGUAAAGCGCGCGCAGGCGGCUUGGUAAGUCAGAUGUGAAAGCCCCGGGCUCAACCCGGGAAGUGCAUUUGAAACUGUCAGGCUUGAGUGCGGUAGAGGGAGGUGGAAUUCUCAGUGUAGAGGUGAAAUUCGUAGAUAUUGAGAGGAACACCGGUGGCGAAGGCGGCCUCCUGGACCGACACUGACGCUGAGGCGCGAAAGCGUGGGGAGCAAACAGGAUUAGAAACCCUAGUAGUCC
Molecule: ribosomal RNA, 274 nt
Filed under: uncultured bacterium
Lineage: Bacteria
Description: partial 16S ribosomal RNA
Rfam family: Bacterial small subunit ribosomal RNA
Source: RNAcentral